CACCACAUUAAGCACAAAGGAGCUAGAUUCCAAAUGCUAGACGAGUGUUUUCCAGGCCAAUUCCACCAACCAAAGAGGGUAUUCGCAACUGUUCUUGGCAAGCCCCAAGAAAACCCAAAAGAUCUAAACACCAGACUCCACAACCUAUGAGCCUUACCACAAUGAAGUAGCAAAUGAUCCACCGUCUCCCCAUUACAACGGCACAUGAUGCACCAGUCAACAAAUGAUCUCUUUUUUCCUAUACGCUUCUCUCUUUCCCUCUCUCCUUUUCAAACACAACUUCACCGUUUCACUCUACAAUAUACUAACGCAUUAGUUGCUACCCUUAGCCGCUCUCUCUCCAUGGACCAAACCUAACUCGAAGUCGGUGAUUACGCCUCAAACCUCUCUCGCAACCAUGACCUCUUCUUCAUCAAGUGCAGUACAAUCUUCAAUCUCUGAAGUGGGAGCACUUUGUUUAAUUAUAGCACGCAUUUCUUCAAUUUCAAUGAGCAACAAUGGGUCAAAUACUAUUUUGUCUGCCCGUAAUAACCUGACACAAGAACAACUGAACGGAGAACUCACCCACCAUCAUCGGCGAUCGUCAGACCCCCCCCAAUGUCUUCAGAACUUGUACAAAUGAAAUUGGAUGAGCUUGUGGAAGAUGUUAUGAACUUGUACAUCAACAAAGAAUCUAUGGAUGAUAAUCGUGGUCAUAGUCAGGAUUAGUCUACUAUUUGCUCAAAUUCUUUCAAUAUUGAUACUUAGCAUUUGGCGAGUUCCAAGGAUAUUAUAUUUUUGUUGAACUAUGUUAUUUUAUUUUUGUUAAACUAUGUUAUUUUGAAUUUGGGUUGAAGUGCUGCACUUCUUUUGGAGUGUAAA
Long non-coding RNA from Quercus robur (English oak), 861 nucleotides. RefSeq lists it as uncharacterized. The record is from RefSeq and is a predicted model, not a curated record. The transcript has 3 exons. NCBI's taxonomy places the organism in Eukaryota, Viridiplantae, Streptophyta, Magnoliopsida, Fagales, Fagaceae.